This 484-nucleotide ribosomal RNA is filed under the name uncultured bacterium. Its description in RNAcentral is "partial 16S ribosomal RNA". It matches the Rfam family "Bacterial small subunit ribosomal RNA", at positions 28 to 507 of the family's 1533-position model. The record is from RNAcentral.
AUUGAACGCUGGCGGCAUGCUUUACACAUGCAAGUCGAACGGCAGCGCGAGCUUCGGCCUGGCGGCGGGUGGCGAACGGGUGAGUAAUGCAUCGGAACUUGCCCAGUCGUGGGGGAUAGCCCGCCGAAAGCCGGAUUAAUACCGCAUCCGCCCUGAAGGUGAAACCGGGGGACCGAAAGGCCUCGCGCUAUUGGACCGGCCGAUGUCGGCUUAGCUAGUUGGUGGGGUAAAGGCUUACCAAGGCGCCGAUCCGUAGCUGGUCUGAGAGGACGACCAGCCACACUGGGACUGAGACACGGCCCAGACUCCUACGGGAGGCAGCAGUGGGGAAUUUUGGACAAUGGGGGCAACCCUGAUCCAGCCAUGCCGCGUGCGGGAAGAAGGCCUUCGGGUUGUAAACCGCUUUUGUUCGGGAAGAAAUCCUCUGGGCUAAUACCCCGGGGGGAUGACGGUACCGGAAGAAGAAGCACCGGCUAACUACGUG